UCUCAUAUCCUUCUUCUUCUU
RNAcentral lists this non-coding RNA (21 nucleotides) under Caenorhabditis elegans. The record is from RNAcentral. Lineage: Eukaryota; Metazoa; Nematoda; Chromadorea; Rhabditida; Rhabditidae.